UCGCAUGAUGAUAAAGGACCCGAGGUCCGACUUAUAACCCAGCUCGUCGAAUGCCUCACAAUAAACGCAGAGUGCAUACUGAGAUAAAAAAUCAUACUGACUU
Small nucleolar RNA from Verticillium longisporum, 103 nucleotides. It matches the Rfam family "A. fumigatus snoRNA Afu_304". Lineage: Eukaryota; Fungi; Ascomycota; Sordariomycetes; Glomerellales; Plectosphaerellaceae. The record is from Rfam.